RNAcentral lists this long non-coding RNA (1317 nucleotides) under Homo sapiens (human). RNAcentral's name for it is "HSALNT0139248". Lineage: Eukaryota; Metazoa; Chordata; Mammalia; Primates; Hominidae. The record is from RNAcentral.
CACAACAUGGCCAGGGGAUGUUUACAUCCCCACCCAGACAGCUGUGCUCAUUGAAAUAGAAGGAAUGAUGAUGAUGAUGUUUAUUUCCGGAAUGGUAAAACACUGAAACCCUUGGUCUCUAAAAAUAGGUCACUGUUUUACUUAGAGGUGAACUGGCAUUGUUUACCUAAAUGCCGAAGUGUCUGACAAUGGUUCUCCAAAGUUAGUUGAAGUUGAAAAAGGUCUCAUGUUACUUCGAAAUUGUCAGAAAUGGUAAGUCUUUGAAAUUCUGCAGAUUUUUAUUCCUGGCAUAAUCAGAAAAUUUGGAAUCACAAUUACAAGACUGUUUGCAUGUAUUUACUCUAAAUUGGCCAAGUUUGGGAAAUCAUGAAUGUAGCUGGUUCUUAUCUCAAGAGUUCUCUAAAUCAGAACUGCUUUGUUGAUGCCUGAAUGCUGACCCUGAAAAGUUUCUAAGGCCACCUCAACCCUAGACUUGACUGGCCCAUUUAGGAAUAAAAUAAAGUGUGCAGAAGAGUCCACUUUACCAGUGACAGUCCUUUUCUUGUGAUUCUAGGGAAGCCAGAUAACUCCGUGGGAUUGCCUUUAAAAACAUUACAGAAAUCUCCAUUCUGCAAAUCUAAAGAUAAAACUUCAUUUUCUGGACAAGCUGAGCUCUCAUGCAAGAGUGCAAGGUUCAGUCUCAGAAGGGCAGACUUAUAGUAACCGAACUCAUUUGUAAACUGAGCAACCAAGCCCAUUUUUAAGAUCCAGAACCACUGAAGAAACUCAAGCAGUGCUCUUGGCUCUUGGCUCUUAGCUGGUGCACUCUCCCUCUGGGGGCCUACAGGAGGUCCCAAUUAUCAUUAGUGGUUGCUUGGUAAGUUAAAAAAUCUGCAUGUUUUAUGCCCUUGAACUAUAAUCAGCUGGAUGCACCUAUCGCCUCAUAGGUCUACAUUCUGUUGGAACCACAGCAGCCAAGUGCUCAGUGCAGUCGCCCUUUCUCCUUGAUGUGCUGGAUGGUCAUUACCAUAGUCUUGUGGCUGGUUGACCAGCUGUGCUACGUCCCCACUCAACACUGCAAAUGAUUGAUAUAUUCAUGGAACUAUUCUGACUCUUAAGGUGACUUGGCCUAUUUUUCCAGGCACUGAUUUUACAUUUUGUCUUUCCAAGCUCAAUCUUGAUUCUUUUAUUUUAAGAUGAGGGUGGCUUCCAGACGCUUCUGAGUACUGACAACAGUGUGCUCUGCUGCCAAGGCAUCCUGCCUCCCUAUGGAGAACAUGGAGUAGUCAUUUAAUACCUGCCACCCAAGGGACUGGAUGGAAGAAGGGCAGGCUUCAG